GAUCCUGGCUCAGGAUGAACGCUAGCUACAGGCUUAACACAUGCAAGUCGAGGGGCAGCAUGUUGGUUGCUUGCAACCGAUGAUGGCGACCGGCGCACGGGUGAGUAACGCGUAUCCAACCUACCCUUGUCCAUCGGAUAACCCGUCGAAAGGCGGCCUAACACGAUAUGCGGUUCACAGCAGGCAUCUAACGUGAACGAAAUGUGAAGGGAGAAGGAGUGGGGAUGCGU
Molecule: ribosomal RNA, 230 nt
Filed under: uncultured bacterium
Lineage: Bacteria
Description: partial 16S ribosomal RNA
Rfam family: Bacterial small subunit ribosomal RNA
Source: RNAcentral